AGUGAACGCUGGCGGUAGGCCUAACACAUGCAAGUCGAACGGCAGCACAGUAAGAGCUUGCUCUUACGGGUGGCGAGUGGCGGACGGGUGAGGAAUACAUCGGAAUCUACUUUUUCGUGGGGGAUAACGUAGGGAAACUUACGCUAAUACCGCAUACGACCUACGGUUGAAAGCAGGGGAUCUUCGGACCUUGCGCGAUUGAAUGAGCCGAUGUCGGAUUAGCUAGUUGGCGGGGUAAAGGCCCACCAAGGCGACGAUCCGUAGCUGGUGUGAGAGGAUGAUCAGCAAAACUGGAACUGAGACAAGGUCCAGACUCCUAAGGGAGGCAGCAGUGGGGAAUAUUGGACAAUGGGCGAAAGCCUGAUCCAGACAUACCGCGUGGGUGAAGAAGGCCUUCGGGUUGUAAAGCCCUUUUGUUGGGAAAGAAAAGCAGCAGGUUAAUACCCCGCUGUUCUGACGGUACCCAAAGAAUAAGCACCGGCUAACUUCGUG
Molecule: ribosomal RNA, 492 nt
Filed under: uncultured bacterium
Lineage: Bacteria
Description: partial 16S ribosomal RNA
Rfam family: Bacterial small subunit ribosomal RNA
Source: RNAcentral